GAUGAACGCUGACAGAAUGCUUAACACAUGCAAGUCUUUGGCGAAGCUGUGCUUGCACAGCCUAGCCAGGGCGGACGGGUGAGUAACGCGUAAGGAACUUGCCCUGCAGUCAGGGAUAACAGACGGAAACGACUGAUAAGACCUGGUAAAGUCAGGCGGACUCAUGUCCAGCCUGAUGAAAAGAGAUGCUGCAGGAGAGCCUUGCGUCCUAUUAGCUUGUUGGUGGGGUAACGGCCCACCAAGGCGAUGAUAGGUAGCCGGCCUGAGAGGGUGGACGGCCACAAGGGGACUGAGAUACGGCCCUUACUCCUACGGGAGGCAGCAGUGGGGAAUAUUGGACAAUGGGGGCAACCCUGAUCCAGCAAUUCUGUGUGCACGAUGAAGGUUUUCGGAGUGUAAAGUGCUUUCAGCAGGGAAGAAAAAAAUGACGGUACCUGCAGAAGAAGCGACGGCUAAAUACGUG
This 463-nucleotide ribosomal RNA is filed under the name uncultured bacterium. RNAcentral's name for it is "partial 16S ribosomal RNA". It matches the Rfam family "Bacterial small subunit ribosomal RNA", at positions 28 to 507 of the family's 1533-position model. The record is from RNAcentral.